Molecule: transfer RNA, 69 nt
Filed under: Ictidomys tridecemlineatus (thirteen-lined ground squirrel)
Lineage: Eukaryota; Metazoa; Chordata; Mammalia; Rodentia; Sciuridae
Description: Spermophilus tridecemlineatus (thirteen-lined ground squirrel) tRNA
Rfam family: tRNA
About the family: Transfer RNA (tRNA) molecules are approximately 80 nucleotides in length. Their secondary structure includes four short double-helical elements and three loops (D, anti-codon, and T loops).
Source: Rfam by way of RNAcentral
GGGGCUGUAGCUCAGUGGCAGAGCGCUUGCCUUGCACGUGGGACGCACUAGGUUCAAUCCUCAGCACCA